RNAcentral lists this ribosomal RNA (141 nucleotides) under uncultured bacterium. RNAcentral describes it as "partial 16S ribosomal RNA". It matches the Rfam family "Bacterial small subunit ribosomal RNA", at positions 373 to 528 of the family's 1533-position model. The record is from RNAcentral.
GGGCGAAAGCCUGACGGAGCAAUCUCCCGUGAGGGAUGACGGCCUAUGGGUUGUAAACCUCUUUUUUCAGGGAGGAAUAAAUGACGUGUACCUGAAGAAUAAGCAUCGGCUAACUCCGUGCCAGCAGCCGCGGUAAUAAAA